AUAAAACUGUAUGAAUAGUAACUUGAAGUCUUUUGUAGAGAGCUAGCGUUUGGUGAAAGCUAGUAAAGUAUGACAAGCGAAUCCACAUACUAUGAUGCAUGGCGAAAGCAUUGAUUAAGCCAUCCGGAGCAAACCGUUAUCGCAAAUGAGUGCAAUGGAAACAUUGAAUACGGGUGGUACCGCGAAGAUAAAAGUGAAACACACAACUUCGUCCCAGUG
Molecule: non-coding RNA, 219 nt
Filed under: Granulicatella elegans
Lineage: Bacteria; Bacillati; Bacillota; Bacilli; Lactobacillales; Carnobacteriaceae
Description: T-box sequence
Rfam family: T-box leader
About the family: Uncharged tRNA acts as the effector for transcription antitermination of genes in the T-box leader family. T-boxes are found upstream of many aminoacyl-tRNA synthetase genes and some amino acid biosynthetic genes usually in Gram-positive bacteria. The anticodon of a specific tRNA base pairs to a specifier sequence within the T-box motif, and the NCCA acceptor tail of the tRNA base pairs to a conserved bulge in the T-box antiterminator hairpin.
Source: RNAcentral